This 2519-nucleotide long non-coding RNA is filed under the name Homo sapiens (human). Its description in RNAcentral is "non-protein coding lnc-C9orf3-3:1". The record is from RNAcentral. Lineage: Eukaryota; Metazoa; Chordata; Mammalia; Primates; Hominidae.
AUUUGGUGGCAUGCAGUAUGUUUACAGUGUUGCACAGCCAUCAGCACUGGCCGUCUCCUGCCCCUUUCCAUGAUCCCCACACUGACUCCCCACCCUCUGCCUUGGGAAACUCUAGCACUUCCUCUCCCUUGUUUUUGUUACAUUUUGGUAACUAUAGAAUUUCCAGGACUCAUUCUGCAUAGUCCCAAGAGAGAGAAACAGCACCUGCAACCCUAUGCACAUCGCCCUGGGAGGCCAAGGGGAAGGGUGAAAGGGGCCAUGAAACAAGGGGCGGGAAGGGAGCCAGGCGCCACCGCGCAGGGGAGGGUGAAGGCAGGUGGCCUCACACCAAAAGAAAACUUACAGAAGUCUUAGCUGGUUCUGCUGCUUUAACCAUUUUUCUGGGGUUUUGUGUCUCUUAUUUCAUCUUUCCUCUAGUGAAGAGCUACAAGUUUAUUUUUUGAAUGUUUUUAAUUGAUUCUUCCUCUUACCCAUAUGUUCAUUUCCAAAAACUUAUUUUCCAUGCUGAAAUAAGAAAUACUGUUUUUAAAAAGUCUGUUGUGCAAAUGUCAAUUCUUGUGAACAUGUGAUAUACGGCAUAUCAAUCUCUGCAGAGCUGGUGUGAAGCCCAGCAACUGGGUCCAGGGACAGGAAGGGACAUGGGGAGAGCAGUUCCUAGAGGUUUCACUUUUUCUGCUUGCUUGGUGUAGCUCCUGCAGACCUUGUCCAGGGUUGACCGUGGGGCAAGAGCAGCAGGGAAGAGGCUGAAGACCCGGGGAGACUGCGGAGGAGCUGGCAGAAGGCAGGGGGAUUUAUUAGAGCCUUGAUUCAGAGCACACCCUACUAAUUGCUGUGAGUGAUUAUGUUUAUGGACCUGUGUUUAAUAUUUGGAUAGAUUUUGCUCUAAAACCUCAGUGACUUAACUCUUUGUAAUCACCCCUGAAUGAAGGAAUCGCCGAAGCAGUAUCAUCUUGAUAUGCUUGCUUAACAGAAUUUGGCCGAGCCAACAUAUUUGUGUUCUACCUGGUGGUCUGAACCAGGCUGGCUUUAAAUAAAAAGGCAAAUCACAGAAAAAGAACUGCAAAUGGCCGAUAAAAAUGUGCAGCUCUCCCAUCUAAUUAACAGUAAAGGAAGGGAAACGCACCGACGUGGUCUCAGUUUCACCCUCUCCGUGUAGGCGCUGAGGAGAGUGACAACACCCAGUGCUGGGGUAGGCAGAGGGUGCGUCUCCUCACAGGCAGGCAGGCACUGGCUUCACAUGGCCAGUCAUGUGGUGCCACUGAAGAAAAUGCAAGACACACAGCCCCGUGUUAAUCAUCGUACUGCUGUCAAUUUGCCUGGCAGAAAUAGAAACAUCAGUUUGAGGAUAUUUACUGCAAUCCUUAUAUAUGAUAAGGACAAAACUAUAAACACUGCAGUGUGCACCCACGGGGAUGGCGGAACAGAGUGUGGGCCUCGUGCCACGGAGUAUGCCCCUAUUUCAAAUGAGCUGGAUCUGUGUCCUGCGAGGGGUAUUUAAGACACGCUGGUUAAAAAGCAGGCUCUGGAGUGAUGUGGCUAUGGUGUAAUGCUGCUUUUGUUUUGACAAUGAGCAGACAAUGGCUUUAUAUGGACUUUAUGUUUAACAAGCAUAAGGUAUGGCUACCAGAAUUACUGCAGGAUGAGGAGGAGGAGGUAAUGAACAUUUUCUGUAUAUGCCUUGUGCUGUAUUGUUUGACCUGACAAAAUGAAUAUAUAUAUAUUUAUAUAUAUAUAUAUAUAAAUAUAUAUAUUCAUUCAUUAAUAAUUGGGAGAGUUUUCUGUAUCAUAGUUAUGUUUUAGGAAAUGGGGUGGACAUUUAGAAUUUAUGUGUAAUACAUUACUAUUUUCUCCUUUAAAAUAAUGAGCAGUAGGCUUCCAGUCAGGGCUCCACCUAGAAAUCUGAUUUACAGUGACAGCGUCUGCCAUGAGCCAGGGAAGCCUGGACAGGACGCUCUCCCCUGUCCAACAGACUCUUCCAAAAGACACCUCCUUGAGAUUUAGAAAACUCUACUUUGUUUCCCCCAAAUUCAAUAUAAGCAGAUUUUUUAUUAGAAAAGUAAAGUUUUCUGUGACUCAAUUUGUGACCAUAUCUUAUUAAGGUUAAAAAAACAGGAUGUGGCUGGGCACAGUGUCUCAGGCCUGUAGUCUCAGCACUUUGGGAGGUCAAGGAGGGUGGUUUGCUUGAGUCCAGGAGUUCAAGACCAGCCUGGGCAAUAUGGCAAUUGGUAUUAUGCUGACUUUUCUUUGUUUAAACACUCACCUAUAUGAUUUGACAACAUUUAAAUCUGGAUUUUCCUUAUCUAAGUUGAAAAAAACAUAAACCCAACAUCUUGAUUGUAGGUCGGCCCUUUCUUCUAAUUUACGUUUUCAUUUCCAGAGGUCUCAUUUUCCUGAUUUGUAAAAUGGCUACAGCGAUGCUGAGGGUAUUCAAAAGAAUCUGUGGCUCCUCAAGAGUAAUUCUAGUUAGGCUCCUUUUUUGGGGUAACUUGAUAUGCAAGAGCAUAACAGACGAGUAAACU